CAGUCGAACGAAACUUCUUUAUCACCGAGUGCUUGCACUCACCGAUACAGAGUAGAGUGGCGAACGGGUGAGUAACACGUGGGCAACCUGCCCAAAAGAGGGGGAUAACACUUGGAAACAGGUGCUAAUACCGCAUAACCAUAGUUACCGCAUGGUAACUAUGUAAAAGGUGGCUAUGCUACCGCUUUUGGAUGGGCCCGCGGCGCAUUAGCUAGUUGGUGGGGUAAAGGCUUACCAAGGCAAUGAUGCGUAGCCGAACUGAGAGGUUGAUCGGCCACAUUGGGACUGAGACACGGCCCAAACUCCUACGGGAGGCAGCAGUAGGGAAUCUUCCACAAUGGGCGAAAGCCUGAUGGAGCAACGCCGCGUGGGUGAAGAAGGUCUUCGGAUCGUAAAACCCUGUUGUUAGAGAAGAAAGUGCGUGAGAGUAACUGUUCACGUUUCGACGGUAUCUAACCAGAAAGCCACGGCUAACUACGUGCCAGCAGCCGCGGUAAUACGUAGGUGGCAAGCGUUAUCCGGAUUUAUUGGGCGUAAAGGGAACGCAGGCGGUCUUUUAAGUCUGAUGUGAAAGCCUUCGGCUUAACCGGAGUAGUGCAUUGGAAACUGGGAGACUUGAGUGCAGAAGAGGAGAGUGGAACUCCAUGUGUAGCGGUGAAAUGCGUAGAUAUAUGGAAGAACACCAGUGGCGAAAGCGGCUCUCUGGUCUGUAACUGACGCUGAGGUUCGAAAGCGUGGGUAGCAAACAGGAUUAGAUACCCUGGUAGUCCACGCCGUAAACGAUGAAUGCUAAGUG
RNAcentral lists this ribosomal RNA (796 nucleotides) under uncultured bacterium. RNAcentral's name for it is "bacterial SSU rRNA". It matches the Rfam family "Bacterial small subunit ribosomal RNA", at positions 59 to 822 of the family's 1533-position model. The record is from RNAcentral.